UACGUAGGGGGCAAGCGUUGUUCGGAAUUACUGGGCGUAAAGGGCGGGUAGGCGGCCACCGCAAGUCAGUUGUGAAAUCUCUGGGCUUAACCCAGAAAGGUCAACUGAUACUGCGGGGCUAGAGUGCAGAAGGGGCAACUGGAAUUCUCGGUGUAGCGGUGAAAUGCGUAGAUAUCGAGAGGAACACCUGCGGCGAAGGCGGGUUGCUGGGCUGACACUGACGCUGAACUGCGAAAGCUAGGGGAGCGAACGGG
RNAcentral lists this ribosomal RNA (254 nucleotides) under uncultured bacterium. Its description in RNAcentral is "partial 16S ribosomal RNA". It matches the Rfam family "Bacterial small subunit ribosomal RNA", at positions 524 to 776 of the family's 1533-position model. The record is from RNAcentral.